RNAcentral lists this ribosomal RNA (301 nucleotides) under uncultured bacterium. Its description in RNAcentral is "partial 16S ribosomal RNA". It matches the Rfam family "Bacterial small subunit ribosomal RNA", at positions 509 to 807 of the family's 1533-position model. The record is from RNAcentral.
CAGCAGCCGCGGGAAAACGGAGGGAGCUAGCGUUGUUCGGAAUUACUGGGCGUAAAGCGCACGUAGGCGGCUUUGUAAGUUAGAGGUGAAAGCCUGGAGCUCAACUCCAGAAUUGCCUUUAAGACUGCAUCGCUUGAAUCCAGGAGAGGUGAGUGGAAUUCCGAGUGUAGAGGUGAAAUUCGUAGAUAUUCGGAAGAACACCAGUGGCGAAGGCGGCUCACUGGACUGGUAUUGACGCUGAGGUGCGAAAGCGUGGGGAGCAAACAGGAUUAGAUACCCGUGUAGUCCCUGUCUCUUAUAC